Molecule: ribosomal RNA, 497 nt
Filed under: uncultured bacterium
Lineage: Bacteria
Description: partial 16S ribosomal RNA
Rfam family: Bacterial small subunit ribosomal RNA
Source: RNAcentral
GACGAACGCUGGCGGCGUGCCUAAUACAUGCAAGUUGAGCGCUGAAGGUUGGUACUUGUACCAACUGGAUGAGCAGCGAACGGGUGAGUAACGCGUGGGGAAUCUGCCUUUGAGCGGGGGACAACAUUUGGAAACGAAUGCUAAUACCGCAUAAAAACUUUAAACACAAGUUUUAAGUUUGAAAGAUGCAAUUGCAUCACUCAAAGAUGAUCCCGCGUUGUAUUAGCUAGUUGGUGAGGUAAAGGCUCACCAAGGCGAUGAUACAUAGCCGACCUGAGAGGGGGAUCGGCCACAUUGGGACUGAGACACGGCCCAAACUCCUACGGGAGGCAGCAGUAGGGAAUCUUCGGCAAUGGACGAAAGUCUGACCGAGCAACGCCGCGUGAGUGAAGAGGGUUUUCGGAUCGUAAAACUCCGUUGGUAGAGAAGAACGUUGGUGAGAGUGGAAAGCUCAUCAAGUGACGGUAACUACCCAGAAAGGGACGGCUAACUACGUG